GUGUCAGCAGCCGCGGUAAUACGAAGGGGGCUAGCGUUGUUCGGAAUCACUGGGCGUAAAGGGCGCGUAGGCGGCUAGAUAAGUCGGGGGUGAAAGCCUGUGGCUCAACCACAGAAUUGCCUUCGAUACUGUCUGGCUUGAGACCGGAAGAGGUUAGUGGAACUGCGAGUGUAGAGGUGAAAUUCGUAGAUAUUCGCAAGAACACCAGUGGCGAAGGCGGCUGACUGGUCCGGUUCUGACGCUGAGGCGCGAAAGCGUGGGGAGCAAACAGGAUUAGAUACCCCGGUAGUCC
This 292-nucleotide ribosomal RNA is filed under the name uncultured bacterium. RNAcentral describes it as "partial 16S ribosomal RNA". It matches the Rfam family "Bacterial small subunit ribosomal RNA", at positions 505 to 796 of the family's 1533-position model. The record is from RNAcentral.